AUGACGUGGCAAAUAAAGGAAUAUUCUCUGCUUCUCAGACCAAGCAAGGCACACGUAUUAAAGCAAAAGAUAAGAAGCACGAAUCUCCUCACAUGGUACACAAUGAGGAGGGAGCAGCUGCUCACUUUCCAAGGGUCCCAGAGGCCUCAGACCAGGGAGGGAGAUAGAAAGCUGCAGACAGACAGUUUUAAGUCCUUCAUCUUUAUUCAUUUAAUCAUCAAUGUACAUUAAGCACCACCUCUGUGCUGGCUUCGUGGAAACCAUGGCUAAUAUAAUACAAGUCAACAGAUUAAGAACUGUGAAGGACAGAGAAGACAUUGCAUACACGAUAGUGGUGUAAACAGGAAAAUGCGUGCUGGCAAAUUGCCCAGAGACAUUCCUGAAAUGUGAAGAUCCAGUCCUUGACCCUUCACCUUGUAACUGCAAAAACUGGUGUUUCUAAGGUCUUCAGAGGUGUGGAUUUGACUGCAUUCUGUAAAUCAGUUACAAACUAAUCAAUCUGCAAGUUGCUCAAAUAACUAAAAUAAUAUGGCAG
Molecule: long non-coding RNA, 535 nt
Filed under: Vulpes vulpes (red fox)
Lineage: Eukaryota; Metazoa; Chordata; Mammalia; Carnivora; Canidae
Description: lncRNA (ENSVVUG00000029629.1)
Source: RNAcentral